UUAAGCAUAUAAGUAAGCGGGAGGAUAAGAAACUUAAAUAGGAUUCCCUUAGUAAUGGCGAAUGAACAGGGAUCAGCUCAGCAUGGAAAUUGGGGCCCUCGGCCUUGAAUUGUAGUCUCGAGAUGUAUUGCCAACGGAGGCGCAGAUGUAAGCCUCUUGGAAAGGAGCAUCAACGAGGGUGAGAGUCCCGUUUGUCAUCUGCAGUCCCCCGUGCACGGCAUACCUUCUAAGAGUCGCGUUCCUCGGAAUUGGAGCGUAAAUUGGGUGGUAAAUUUCAUCUCAAGCUAAAUAUUGGUUCGAGACCGAUAGCAAACAAGUACCAUGAGGGAAAGAUGAAAAGGACUUUGAAAAGAGAGUUAAAAGUGCCUGAAAUUGCUGAAAGGGAAGCGAAUGGAACCAGUGUUGCUUGGAUGUGAUUGGCGGGUGCAUGACGCGCUCGUUGUAUUUCCUUCCUUGUGUGUCAACGCCAGUUCGCGAUCGAGGAAAACUCCAGGGUCAUGGUAGCUUGUCUCAGGGUGAGCGAACAGCCUUGGCAGAACUCAUUUGCGGACUGUUUCUUUCGUGUCUGGUUGCAAUGUCUUUGGCAUCUUGGAGACCUCGCCAUGGCUUUGCCAUGGGCGAGCGACCCAGGUGACUUCGGCAUUUCCCUGACGCAAAGACGAUGACUAAAUGGUUCUAUUCGACCCGUCUUGA
Molecule: ribosomal RNA, 693 nt
Filed under: Prorocentrum sp. FIU22
Lineage: Eukaryota; Dinophyceae; Prorocentrales; Prorocentraceae
Description: eukaryotic LSU rRNA
Rfam family: Eukaryotic large subunit ribosomal RNA
Source: RNAcentral